RNAcentral lists this transfer RNA (86 nucleotides) under Candidatus Aenigmatarchaeota archaeon. RNAcentral's name for it is "tRNA-Gly". It matches the Rfam family "tRNA". From Rfam's summary of the family: Transfer RNA (tRNA) molecules are approximately 80 nucleotides in length. Their secondary structure includes four short double-helical elements and three loops (D, anti-codon, and T loops). Lineage: Archaea; Nanobdellati; Candidatus Aenigmatarchaeota. The record is from RNAcentral.
GCGCCUGUAGUCUAACGGCAGGACCACAAUCUCGGGAUGGCAUGCCUUCCAAGCUGUUGAUCCGGGUUCGAAUCCCGGCGGGCGCA